CCAAAGGUCACUGAUCACAAGCACAGGAACAUGGGUUUUAGCUUGUGUUCUGCCCUGUAGAAGGUGGUGUGAUGAGAAAGAUUUUGGCAAAAAAUUUGGGUCCAAAUUCCAGCUCUGCUGUCUAUUAGCCAUGGCUCUGAUCCAUUCUGCACCCUUCUGCACAGUACCCUGAGCCAUGCUCUAGGAGGCUGUCCCCAGCAUUGGAAGAUACCAGUAGGAAAUCUGAGUGAUGAAGAACAGUGAGGUCUAAGGAUUUAUUUCCUGGCUUCCUACAAGUGUACAAGGCUUAUACCUCAUGAAGGAAGAAAUAUCUUUACCUUUACUUUGUGACUCACUCUAUGAAGACUUUCAGAGGUUAUACUCAAAAAAACAAAAAUCCACCUGACUUAUGCAAGAUCGUUUUUCACUGAAACAUGCUAUUACUUUAUCUUCAAACAAAGCAAGGGCAAGUUCACUGUGGCUGCAGACUUAUUAAUGGACUCAGCACCAAGGCAUCUGUGAGGGCUCUCAGCCUUUUUUUUGCUAGGCUUGCUGCUUAGGUAAGAAGCUAUCCAACAGACCACCUGAAACCUCUUUUACAGUUUUGCACAGUGGUCAGAAUGUCCAAAUAAUAAACACAGGCUGAAUCAUUUGUGAUUUGAGAAUGAUCCACCAUUUCAGAGAUUAAAUAUAUUUGUUAGCAGCAGACUUGUUGUCAUGUGGCAGGUGAGAUGUCAGCAGUCCUCAGUGUCUGGCUUCUCAAAUACAGCUUCCCUUCAUGCCUUGCUCAAACCCAAGAAGCCCUGCAUUCUUAGUAGACUACCCAAGGACCAGACAAACUGGGAAUCUUAAACUAUGCUCUUCUCCUUUUUAGAAUAUAACCAAAAUAAAAGCAGCAAUACCUGGAAUCAACUAAUUUUUAUAGCUAUGUACUUCUUAGUGUGGCAGAAACAAAGUACUUCCAUAGCAU
Molecule: long non-coding RNA, 949 nt
Organism: Lutra lutra (Eurasian river otter)
Lineage: Eukaryota; Metazoa; Chordata; Mammalia; Carnivora; Mustelidae
Exons: 3
Source: RefSeq, a predicted model, not a curated record